UUUUCGGUGGCCAUAGCGAAGAGGUCCCACCCGUUCCCAUCCCGAACACGGAAGUUAAGCUCUUCAGCGCCGAUGGUACUGCAUGGGAGACUAUGUGGGAGAGUAGGUCGCCGCCGAU
This 118-nucleotide ribosomal RNA is filed under the name Desulfobulbus elongatus. Lineage: Bacteria; Pseudomonadati; Thermodesulfobacteriota; Desulfobulbia; Desulfobulbales; Desulfobulbaceae. The record is from RNAcentral.